This 274-nucleotide ribosomal RNA is filed under the name uncultured bacterium. RNAcentral describes it as "partial 16S ribosomal RNA". It matches the Rfam family "Bacterial small subunit ribosomal RNA", at positions 523 to 796 of the family's 1533-position model. The record is from RNAcentral.
AUACGGAGGGUGCAAGCGUUACUCGGAAUCACUGGGCGUAAAGCGCGCGCAGGCGGCUAUUUAAGUUGGAUGUGAAAGCCUACGGCUCAACCGUAGAACUGCAUCCAAAACUAUUUAGCUAGAGUGUGGGAGAGGAAGAUGGAAUUAGUUGUGUAGGGGUAAAAUCCGUAGAGAUAACUAGGAAUACCAAAAGCGAAGGCAAUCUUCUGGAACACUACUGACGCUGAGGCGCGAAAGCGUGGGGAGCAAACGGGAUUAGAAACCCUUGUAGUCC